CCGGCCCCGCGGCCACGUGGCGGCGACGCCCGACACGGCGACACCCGUCGGCGCCGUCAGAGGGGACGAAAUGUGUCUAUUUUCUGGGAAGGCCCAUUCAUUGCGCCUUAUCUGUCUUCCCGCACGACGGCUGCACCUGACUGCCGCAUGCUGAAGCCGCUGAAGCCGCUGAAGCCUCGACGCCCCGCAUCGUGGAGAAGGAUUCGCGGAUUCGCGCGAAAAGUGUCACCCGCUCGAGAGCUGCGUCGCCGCGUGUCGGCGUUCUGUUUGCAGUAACUAAGGCACGUGGUAUGGGUUCCGGGGCGUCAGCGGUCAAAGGAAAAACCCUCAUGGUCACGUCCAUUGGAGCCUCGACAAUCGUAGGUGUCUGACGCAGCUCGGGGCCUUCCCGCCACGCCCUCGGCCACGCCGCCGUGGACCCCGGGGCUGCCAUUGACGGCGUGCUAUCAGCAUCAGGGGCAACGCCAGGGCAGCGCGGAGGCCGGGCGGCCGGCCAAAACGCUGACAGGUGACGGCGGCGACGGAAAAUCACGGAAACCUUAGCAAAACAUCAACAAAUGACGCUAAGAUGGCGUCGCUCGCGCGAUUUGUGGAAAUAAGGAGUGUGGCUGUGCGCACACUCGGCACCCCCUUUCUCGGGAGGGAGUUGAAAAAAUAAUCUUGAGACAAAUAACAGACUGUAUGCGCGCCAUGUUGAACGAGACCGUUCUGCAGAGUCAAGACGAUACGGUGAAGUGGGGCGGCCCCGUUCUUCGAAUCGCUCGGGGCCCCGCCAUGGGCCGCGUCGGGCCGCGCGCAACCACACCGUAAACACGAUGCAAGGGCUUAUUCCGCUCGCAAACACU
This is a long non-coding RNA of Thrips palmi, 845 nucleotides long. RefSeq lists it as uncharacterized. NCBI's taxonomy places the organism in Eukaryota, Metazoa, Arthropoda, Insecta, Thysanoptera, Thripidae. The transcript is spliced from 4 exons. The record is from RefSeq and is a predicted model, not a curated record.